Molecule: non-coding RNA, 114 nt
Organism: Acanthosepion pharaonis
Lineage: Eukaryota; Metazoa; Mollusca; Cephalopoda; Sepiida; Sepiidae
Source: the annotation of a GenBank genome assembly
UUAUGGCCAUAUCACGUUUUAACACCAGUUCUCCUUCGAUCACCGAAGUUAAGUAACGUCGAACUUACUCAGUACCUAGAUGGGUGACCGCCCGGGAAUACCAGGUGCUGUAAG